GUCUUCCAGUAGAUCUUUCUUCUCUCACUGUGGCUUUCCAGCAGGACCCCUCACAGUCUGUCACCACAGAGUGCCCUUCCUUCCGUGCCAUCUUCAGGAGCUCUCCAGGUGAGAUGGACCAGUUUGAAAAUGCUGGAAGCUCUGCAAGACUUCACUGCAUCCAGGAUGAACCGCAAUGGAACAUGGGUGUGGAAGAAUUCAGGGAGUUGAACCAGAGACCAGUACUAUUGCUGCUGACAAUGCCAAGGUGUCUAAAUGGAGAUUUUGCAUAUAAUGAAAUGGAUAUGUUCUAUGCACUGGGAAGGCAGUGGCUGCUUGG
This is a long non-coding RNA of Catharus ustulatus (Swainson's thrush), 319 nucleotides long. RefSeq lists it as uncharacterized. The transcript is spliced from 3 exons. The record is from RefSeq and is a predicted model, not a curated record. NCBI's taxonomy places the organism in Eukaryota, Metazoa, Chordata, Aves, Passeriformes, Turdidae.